Molecule: ribosomal RNA, 377 nt
Filed under: uncultured bacterium
Lineage: Bacteria
Description: bacterial SSU rRNA
Rfam family: Bacterial small subunit ribosomal RNA
Source: RNAcentral
UAAUACGAAGGUGGCGAGCGUUGUUCGGAUUUACUGGGCAUAAAGGGCGCGUAGGCGGUUCCGCAAGCAGCGUGUGAAAUCCCACGGCUCAACCGUGGAACAGCGCGCUGGACUGCGGUUCUCGAGGACCGGAGGGGGGUAUGGAACUCUCGGUGUAGCGGUGAAAUGCGUAGAUAUCGAGAGGAACACCGGUGGCGAAAGCGGUACCCUGGCCGGUUUCUGACGCUGAGGCGCGAAAGCGUGGGUAGCAAACAGGAUUAGAUACCCUGGUAGUCCACGCCGUAAACGAUGAGGACUAGGUAGCCGUCGGAACCGACCGGGGGCUGCUGAAGGAAAUCCAUUAAGUCCUCCGCCUGGGGAGUAUGGUCGCAAGGCUG